Molecule: ribosomal RNA, 400 nt
Filed under: Phomopsis sp. 10 JM-2013
Lineage: Eukaryota; Fungi; Ascomycota; Sordariomycetes; Diaporthales; Diaporthaceae
Description: eukaryotic LSU rRNA
Rfam family: 5.8S ribosomal RNA (bases 73-226)
Source: RNAcentral
GCAGCCCGCCGGCGGCCAACUAAACUCUUGUUUCUAUAGUGAAUCUCUGAGUAAAAAACAUAAAUGAAUCAAAACUUUCAACAACGGAUCUCUUGGUUCUGGCAUCGAUGAAGAACGCAGCGAAAUGCGAUAAGUAAUGUGAAUUGCAGAAUUCAGUGAAUCAUCGAAUCUUUGAACGCACAUUGCGCCCUCUGGUAUUCCGGAGGGCAUGCCUGUUCGAGCGUCAUUUCAACCCUCAAGCCUGGCUUGGUGAUGGGGCACUGCCUGUAAAAGGGCAGGCCCUGAAAUCUAGUGGCGAGCUCGCCAGGACCCCGAGCGUAGUAGUUAUAUCUCGCUUUGRAAGGCCCUGGCGGUGCCCUGCCGUUAAACCCCCAACUUUUGAAAAUUUGACCUCGGAUCA